Molecule: ribosomal RNA, 472 nt
Filed under: uncultured bacterium
Lineage: Bacteria
Description: bacterial SSU rRNA
Rfam family: Bacterial small subunit ribosomal RNA
Source: RNAcentral
ACUCCUACGGGAGGCAGCAGUAGGGAAUCUUCCACAAUGGGCGCAAGCCUGAUGGAGCAACACCGCGUGAGUGAAGAAGGGUUUCGGCUCGUAAAGCUCUGUUGUUAAAGAAGAACACGUAUGAGAGUAACUGUUCAUACGUUGACGGUAUUUAACCAGAAAGUCACGGCUAACUACGUGCCAGCAGCCGCGGUAAUACGUAGGUGGCAAGCGUUAUCCGGAUUUAUUGGGGCGUAAAGAGAGUGCAGGCGGUUUUCUAAGUCUGAUGUGAAAGCCUUCGGCUUAACCGGAGAAGUGCAUCGGAAACUGGAUAACUUGAGUGCAGAAGAGGGUAGUGGAACUCCAUGUGUAGCGGUGGAAUGCGUAGAUAUAUGGAAGAACACCAGUGGCGAAGGCGGCUACCUGGUCUGCAACUGACGCUGAGACUCGAAAGCAUGGGUAGCGAACAGGAUUAGAUACCCUGGUAGGAUAG